UGACUUUGGGUUUCAGAUGAAUUGUGGUUCCGAGUUUAAACCGAAGCUUCGAUCCUGUGUUCUGAGAUGCACAGCCAGCCAGUCUUGUCUGCAUCAUUUGCAUCAUAGCAUGUUUAUUUUCAAAAAAAUAUGCAAUCAAAAAAAAAUUAAGAAAAAAAGAAAAAAAAGUUAAUCUCUGCAUGCAUAUCAUUUCUCAGGUACAUUCCAGAGUCUAUUCACUGAUAGAGAUGGCAACAGUCCCGGAGUUGAAGCGGAAGACUUGCUCCUAC
Molecule: long non-coding RNA, 269 nt
Filed under: Lathyrus oleraceus (garden pea)
Lineage: Eukaryota; Viridiplantae; Streptophyta; Magnoliopsida; Fabales; Fabaceae
Description: Pisum sativum (pea) long non-coding RNA (PSAT_LNC020206)
Source: RNAcentral